GGAAGUUCACAGGUGACACACCCUGGAAUCGGGCUCCCUCCUCUCUGGUUCCGGGUGCGUCACCCGAGAACCACA
Myotis brandtii (Brandt's bat) is the source of this 75-nucleotide non-coding RNA. The record is from Rfam. NCBI's taxonomy places the organism in Eukaryota, Metazoa, Chordata, Mammalia, Chiroptera, Vespertilionidae.